This 502-nucleotide ribosomal RNA is filed under the name uncultured bacterium. RNAcentral describes it as "bacterial SSU rRNA". It matches the Rfam family "Bacterial small subunit ribosomal RNA", at positions 28 to 521 of the family's 1533-position model. The record is from RNAcentral.
GACGAACGCUGGCGGCGUGGAUUAGGCAUGCAAGUCGAACGGUAUCAUCCUUUCGGGGGUGAGAGAGUGGCGAACUGGUGAGUAACACGUAGGUUAUCUACCCUCAAGACGGGGACAACCCAGGGAAACUUGGGCUAAUACCGGAUGUGAGCAACUUUUUAGUUGUUUGAAAGGUGGCGUAAGCUGUCGCUUGGGGAUGAGCCUGCGUCCUAUUAGUUAGUUGGUGAGGUAACGGCUCACCUAGGCAAUGAUAGGUAGGCGGCCUUAACGGGUGGUCGCCCACACUGGGAUUGAGAUACGGCCCAGACUCCUACGGGAGGCAGCAGUCGAGAAUAGUCUACAAUGGUCGGAAGACUGAUAGUGCGACGCCGCGUGAACGAUGAAUCCCUUCGGGGUGUAAAGUUCUUUUAUAUGUGAGCAGUGCUUCUUAUAUUAACAGUAUGGGGAGAGAGAUAUUAGCAUAUGAAUAAGCAACGGCUAACUCCGUGCCAGCAGCCGCGGU